Molecule: small nucleolar RNA, 132 nt
Organism: Psammomys obesus (fat sand rat)
Lineage: Eukaryota; Metazoa; Chordata; Mammalia; Rodentia; Muridae
Product: small nucleolar RNA SNORA17
Exons: 1
Source: RefSeq, a predicted model, not a curated record
GUUGCCCCUAGAGGCACUGCAGGUGUGGCUACUGUGUUACAUGUGUGUCAGUGGGUGGUAGAGAGGAGAGGGGCUGUGUCUACACUUGGGGUUCUGACCUGGGAACAUCUGCAUGAUUAGCUGCCUAACAUC